UACGUAGGUGGCAAGCGUUGUCCGGAAUUAUUGGGCGUAAAGCGCGCGCAGGUGGUUUCUUAAGUCUGAUGUGAAAGCCCACGGCUCAACCGUGGAGGGUCAUUGGAAACUGGGGAACUUGAGUGCAGGAGAGAAGAGUGGAAUUCCACGUGUAGCGGUGAAAUGCGUAGAGAUGUGGAGGAACACCGGUGGCGAAGGCGGGUCUCUGGGCCGAUACUGACGCUGAGGAGCGAAAGCGUGGGGAGCGAACAGG
RNAcentral lists this ribosomal RNA (253 nucleotides) under uncultured bacterium. RNAcentral's name for it is "partial 16S ribosomal RNA". It matches the Rfam family "Bacterial small subunit ribosomal RNA", at positions 524 to 776 of the family's 1533-position model. The record is from RNAcentral.